This 327-nucleotide ribosomal RNA is filed under the name uncultured eukaryote. RNAcentral describes it as "partial 18S ribosomal RNA". It matches the Rfam family "Eukaryotic small subunit ribosomal RNA", at positions 1470 to 1796 of the family's 1831-position model. The record is from RNAcentral.
CCCUUGGAUGUUCUGGGCCGCACGCGCGCUACACUGACGAAUGCAACGAGCUUAUAACCUUGGCCGAAAGGUCUGGGUAAUCUCCAAAUUUCGUCGUGAUGGGGAUAGAUUAUUGCAAUUAUUAAUCUUCAACGAGGAAUGCCUAGUAAGCGCAAGUCAUCAGCUUGCGUUGAUUACGUCCCUGCCCUUUGUACACACCGCCCGUCGCUCCUACCGAUUGAAUGGUCCGGUGAAGCGUUCGGACCGUGGCCUUUGGACGGUUCGCCGUCUGUUGGCUGCGGGAAGUUCGUUAAACCUUAUCAUUUAGAGGAAGGAGAANUCGUANCA